Molecule: ribosomal RNA, 752 nt
Filed under: uncultured bacterium
Lineage: Bacteria
Description: bacterial SSU rRNA
Rfam family: Bacterial small subunit ribosomal RNA
Source: RNAcentral
AGAGUUUGAUCCUGGCUCAGAAUCAACGCUGGCGGCGCGCUUAACACAUGCAAGUCGCACGAGAAAGGGAGCAAUCCUAAGUAAAGUGGCGCACGGGUGAGUAACACGUGGAUCAUCUACCUUUUAGUGGGGAAUACCUCUGGGAAACCGGAGACAAUACCGCAUAAGCCUGUAAAGGGAAAGCAGCAAUGCGCUGAAAGAGGAGUCCGCGGCCGAUUAGCUAGUUGGCGGGGUAAUGGCCCACCAAGGCGAAGAUCGGUAGCCGGCCUGAGAGGGCACACGGCCACACUGGCACUGAAACACGGGCCAGACUCCUACGGGAGGCAGCAGUGGGGAAUCUUGCACAAUGGGCGAAAGCCUGAUGCAGCGACGCCGCGUGAGCGAUGAAGCCCUUCGGGGUGUAAAGCUCUUUCGACGGGAACGAUAAUGACGGUACCCGGAGAAGAAGCUGCGGCUAACUACGUGCCAGCAGCCGCGGUAAUACGUAGGCAGCGAGCGUUGUUCGGAAUUACUGGGCGUAAAGAGUGUGUAGGCGGUGUUCCCAGUCUGUUGUGAAAUCUCCCGGCUUAACUGGGAGGGUGCAGCGGAAACUAGAAUGCUAGAGGGUGGGAGAGGUAAGCGGAAUUCCUGGUGUAGCGGUGAAAUGCGUAGAUAUCAGGAGGAACACCUGGUGUAGACAGCUUACUGGACCACUUCUGACGCUGAGACACGAAAGCGUGGGUAGCAAACAGGAUUAGAUACCCUAGUAGUCC